GCACCGGUGGUGCAUGGUGCACGCUGCCAUUAAAUGGGGAGGAUCAAGGUGACGCGUUUCAGGCAGAUCGGGGUUCGAUUCCCCGCCGGUGCA
Non-coding RNA from Mycena rebaudengoi, 93 nucleotides. The record is from the annotation of a GenBank genome assembly. Lineage: Eukaryota; Fungi; Basidiomycota; Agaricomycetes; Agaricales; Mycenaceae.